RNAcentral lists this long non-coding RNA (442 nucleotides) under Pan troglodytes (chimpanzee). RNAcentral's name for it is "lincRNA". Lineage: Eukaryota; Metazoa; Chordata; Mammalia; Primates; Hominidae. The record is from RNAcentral.
UAAGUAGUUAAAAUUAGAAAUCACAGCAAGUCAACAGGAAGCUCUCCUCUGCCAGUCUCCUAAAUCACAAUAUGGCCUUGUCAUGGCUGGAGUAUUUCAAAGGCUCAGUCCCACUCCAGAAUCGGCCCUGUCGCCCCCGCCCGCACUCCAGAGCCGGCUGAGAACCGCAGCGGCGCGGGAUCCACGUGCAGCGUCUCUCCGGGUCAAAGCUACCUAGAUGUCAUCAUACAAAUUACGGGCUAUGAUGUCCACCUCAUUCUCUUUCUGGAAGGCUGACCUUAACUGUCCUGCACAUUCCUUACACAGCAUAUUUGCCCUUCUCCUAUACUAAUAAGCCCUAAAUCUUGGGGGUAACAGCCUGGGGAACUACCUGUCUUGCUACCACUCAAGACCAUACUUCUGUCCACAAAUUCCCCCCAAUAAAUUAUCUUUUACUGACAAA